This 396-nucleotide ribosomal RNA is filed under the name uncultured bacterium. Its description in RNAcentral is "partial 16S ribosomal RNA". It matches the Rfam family "Bacterial small subunit ribosomal RNA", at positions 523 to 918 of the family's 1533-position model. The record is from RNAcentral.
AUACGUAGGUGACAAGCGUUAUCCGGAUUUACUGGGCGUAAAGGGCGUGUAGGCGGUCUUGCAAGUCAGAAGUGAAAUUCCUGAGCUCAACUCGGGCGCUGCUUCUGAAACUGCAGGACUUGAGUGCUGGAGGGGAUAGCGGAAUUCCUAGUGGAGCGGUAAAAUGCGCAGAUAUUAGGAAGAACACCGGUGGAGAAGGCGGCUAUCUGGACAGUAACUGACGUGGAGGAGCGAAAGCGGGGGGAGCAAACAGGAUUAGAUCCCCUGUUAGUCCACGUCGUAAACGAUGAAUACUAGGUGUGGGGGGAAUGACCCCCUCCGUGCCGCAGUUAACACAGUAAGUAUUCCACCUGGGGAGUACGGCCGCAAGGUUGAAACUCAAAUGAAUUGACGGGG